GCUCAUCUUUAGUGCUUCUUGGUUUUGGUUACUAGUGUUGAGAAUGACGUAACUGAUCCAAACACUCCUGAAUCUGAUCUACAAUGGAUCUGAUAACAAGUGCACCGAGUGUAUAUUAUGUUUACAGUAAUGCUUCAUUACUUAACGUUGCAAGUGGUGAGCUAUAAUGUUGCAUUAUUUAAUUUUCAGUGUUGCGACAAAGCAUCCGAUGAAAAUUUUCCAUCGGACGUCCGGACACUAGUAGCUCCGUUAUGUUUAUAAAGGGGAUUUCUGAUCAACUAUCUUCAUUUGUUACUUCUUGAUGCAAAGAAGAUUUGCCAGACUCAGGGUAACUGGGCUUCCAAUGUUGUAACCUGGUACACCAAGAAAUAAUCUGACUGGAUAAAAAAGGAUGAUCAAAGAAGACAAAGGAUUGCGGAUAAUGGUUGAUUAACUUAAUAAGAUCGCUUAGGAGAUGGGGCUUGGUUACCUGGCAGCACAUUAUGCAUUUAGGAUAAUCAAUUUUCCGAUGCAUUCAUUAUGCAUGCAGUAUAGCCAAUUUUCUGAUGCAUUUGGAAAUACGAUCACUGUACUUGAAGCAUUAUAUGAAUAUCCAGUGCACCAUGGAAUGGUACUUCAUAAAAGCAACUACUAAUUUCCAGUCUCAUCCAGCGGAGUUUUCCUUAUUUUUCAUCCUGAUAUUCUACAGUAUUUCUCAUCUGAUAUGAAUUGUAUACUUUUGAAGGUACUGAAUUUGCAUAAGGCAAUAAGGUUGAGUGCAUCCAGUGCCUUCUGUAAACUGGCAAAUGUCCAGAAAGAGAGUUAGAUGAUUUGGGAAGCCCAACUAUGCCUGUGAGGUUUUCAAACUCCAUAGGAAGGGAACCUGGAUAGCUGAUUACUACGUGUGAGCAGAUUUUGGAGAUUUUUCAGAUUCCCAAAAAUUUGUGGUAUUGACCCAAAAAUUUCAUUAUCACAGAAAUCCAAUAUUUGGAGCUUCACAGGAUUGCCAAUUUCCACUGGAAUCGAGUUAUCCUAUUUUCGUGAGGUUCCCUGAGCUGGCAGGAAUUGAAUUUUAAAUUUGGUUUUGAGAUACCUGUCACGAAUCUGGAGAUUUAAUAGGUUGCCUAGUUCUGUCAUUUGAUUUUUGCAAAGAAGAAGCGUGUUUAGAGCAUCUUCAGCAUUGGCCCUCAAAGCAGACCCUCUACUUCUUGAGUAAGGGCUCCCUCUAUUUAUGAGAGCUAGUUUUUAACCUCAACUCCAACAGUGGUCUCUAAAUCGCAUUCUCUUUUUUUAAUCUAAAGAGUGAGACUCAUUUGUCAGUGGAUAGGGAGCUCCCUAGAGACCCUCCAGGGAUAGAGGGUGAAUGAAGAGAUUUGGAGACCUCCCUAAAAUGGGGCCUUGAGCAGAGGAUCUGUUCGAGUGAUUUUUUUUUUAAAUUUCACCAUUCAAAUUUAAGAUGAGUUUAUCUAGAGGAUUGCUCUUAGAAUAUUGCGGUUGCCUAGUUCUAUGGUAUGGAACCUUUUAUUAGGUUUUCAUGUAGACUAAGUUCACUUAAGAUGUUUUUAGUUGUUAAGUCUAACCAGGCUAGGAUUUUAAGCCAGGCUAGUUCGAGCCUGGCUUCACUAUGUAAUGUAUUCGUAUUUGCCUGGCUUCACUAGCACGUCGAGGAUGCCUCGUUCCUCUGCUCUCUCCUGGCCCCUUGUUAUCUUCGUUCGUGACCAUUGACCAAGCACCACGACAGCGUACAGAUGCGUCCAAGCCGGCACUCGUGGGGGUAAACUAGGAGAUUCCUGACCUGAGUGCAAGUAGUAAUUCAAUUCUUCUGCUGCGCCAUGCCAUGAUCCUGGCCGCUGAGGCAUCCUCUAACAGUUGAGCUAGCUACUCUCUCCAUUCAAAAAAAAAA
This is a long non-coding RNA of Panicum virgatum (switchgrass), 1882 nucleotides long. RefSeq lists it as uncharacterized. The transcript has 2 exons. NCBI's taxonomy places the organism in Eukaryota, Viridiplantae, Streptophyta, Magnoliopsida, Poales, Poaceae. The record is from RefSeq and is a predicted model, not a curated record.